CAUAGCGUAAUGAAGCGAACCGGGGGAACUGAAACAUCUAAGUACCCCGAGGAAAAGAAAUCAACCGAGAUUCCCCCAGUAGCGGCGAGCGAACGGGGAGCAGCCCAGAGUCUGAAUCAGCUUGUGUGUUAGUGGAACGGUCUGGAAAGUCCGACGGUACAGGGUGAUAGUCCCGUACACCAAAAUGCACAGGUUGUGAACUCGAAGAGUAGGGCGGGACACGUGGUAUCCUGUCUGAAUAUGGGGGGACCAUCCUCCAAGGCUAAAUACUCCUGACUGACCGAUAGUGAACCAGUACCGUGAGGGAAAGGCGAAAAGAACCCCGGCGAGGGGAGUGAAAAAGAACCUGAAACCGUGUACGUACAAGCAGUGGGAGCCUCUUUAUGGGGUGACUGCGUACCUUUUGUAUAAUGGGUCAGCGACUUAUAUUCUGUAGCAAGGUUAACCGUAUAGGGGAGCCGAAGGGAAACCGAGUCUUAACUGGGCGUUAAGUUGCAGGGUAUAGACCCGAAACCCGGUGAUCUAGCCAUGGGCAGGUUGAAGGUUGGGUAACACUAACUGGAGGACCGAACCGACUAAUGUUGAAAAAUUAGCGGAUGACUUGUGGCUGGGGGUGAAAGGCCAAUCAAACCGGGAGAUAGCUGGUUCUCCCCGAAAGC
RNAcentral lists this ribosomal RNA (659 nucleotides) under Citrobacter freundii. RNAcentral's name for it is "partial 23S ribosomal RNA". It matches the Rfam family "Bacterial large subunit ribosomal RNA", at positions 165 to 866 of the family's 2925-position model. Lineage: Bacteria; Pseudomonadati; Pseudomonadota; Gammaproteobacteria; Enterobacterales; Enterobacteriaceae. The record is from RNAcentral.